Molecule: ribosomal RNA, 207 nt
Filed under: uncultured bacterium
Lineage: Bacteria
Description: partial 16S ribosomal RNA
Rfam family: Bacterial small subunit ribosomal RNA
Source: RNAcentral
CUCGUAGGCGGCUUGUCACGUCGGGUGUGAAAGACCGGGGCUUAACUCCGGUUCUGCAUUCGAUACGGGCUAGCUAGAGUGUGGUAGGGGAGAUCGGAAUUCCUGGUGUAGCGGUGAAAUGCGCAGAUAUCAGGAGGAACACCGGUGGCGAAGGCGGAUCUCUGGGCCAUUACUGACGCUGAGGAGCGAAAGCGUGGGGAGCGAACA